Molecule: ribosomal RNA, 381 nt
Filed under: uncultured bacterium
Lineage: Bacteria
Description: bacterial SSU rRNA
Rfam family: Bacterial small subunit ribosomal RNA
Source: RNAcentral
GACGAACGCUGGCGGCGUGCUUAACACAUGCAAGUCAAGGGGGCCAGCAUGGGCAACCGGCGAACGGGUGCGUAACACGUGAGCAGCCUACCGAACUGUGGGGGAUAGCCGGCCUAACGGCCGAGUAAUACCGCAUACGCUUUCAGUGAGGCAUUUCAUUGAAAGGAAACCUACGGGACAGAUCGAGGGACUCGCGGCCUAUCAGCUAGUUGGCGAGGUAACGGCNCACCAAGGCAACGACGGUAGCUGGUCUGAGAGGAUGGCCAGCCACAUUGGGACUGAGAUACGGCCCAGACUCCUACGGGAGGCAGCAGUGGGGAAUCUUGCGCAAUGGCCUAACGGCUGACGCAGCGACGCCGCGUGUGGGAUGAAGCUCUUCGG